Molecule: ribosomal RNA, 415 nt
Filed under: uncultured bacterium
Lineage: Bacteria
Description: bacterial SSU rRNA
Rfam family: Bacterial small subunit ribosomal RNA
Source: RNAcentral
UGGGGGAUAUUGCACAAUGGGGGAAACCCUGAUGCAGCAACGCCGCGUGAAGGAUGAAGGUUUUCGGAUUGUAAACUUCUGUUCUUAGUGACGAUAAUGACGGUAGCUAAGAAGAAAGCUCCGGCUAACUACGUGCCAGCAGCCGCGGUAAUACGUAGGGAGCGAGCGUUGUCCGGAUUUACUGGGUGUAAAGGGUGCGUAGGCGGCAGAGCAAGUCAGGCGUGAAAGCCAUGGGCUUAACCCAUGAACUGCGCUUGAAACUGUUCUGCUUGAGUGAAGUAGAGGCAGGCGGAAUUCCCGGUGUAGCGGUGAAAUGCGUAGAGAUCGGGAGGAACACCAGUGGCGAAGGCGGCCUGCUGGGCUUUAACUGACGCUGAGGCACGAAAGCAUGGGUAGCAAACAGGAUUAGAUACCC